GACGAACGCUGGUGGCGUGCUUAACACAUGCAAGUCGAACGGGAUUUCGUAAACAGAAGCCUCGGUGGAAGAUUACUAAUGAGAGUGGCGAACGGGUGAGUAACGCGUGAGCAACCUGCCUAUGACAGUGGGAUAGCCUCGGGAAACCGGGAUUAAUACCGCAUAAAAUCGUAGAAACACAUGUUUUAACGGUCAAAGAUUUAUCGGUCAUAGAUGGGCUCGCGUCUGAUUAGCUAGUUGGUGAGAUAACAGCCCACCAAGGCGACGAUCAGUAGCCGGUCUGAGAGGAUGAACGGCCACAUUGGAACUGAGACACGGUCCAAACUCCUACGGGAGGCAGCAGUGGGGAAUAUUGCACAAUGGGGGAAACCCUGAUGCAGCGACGCCGCGUGAACGAAGAAGGUAUUCGUAUCGUAAAGUUCUGUCCUAUGGGAAGAUAAUGACAGUACCAUAGAAGAAAGCACCGGCUAAAUACGUG
This 478-nucleotide ribosomal RNA is filed under the name uncultured bacterium. RNAcentral's name for it is "partial 16S ribosomal RNA". It matches the Rfam family "Bacterial small subunit ribosomal RNA", at positions 28 to 507 of the family's 1533-position model. The record is from RNAcentral.